AGUAGAAUCACUGUUAUUGAUCCGUCUGUAGUUCUAUCAGUACAAUCACUGUUAUUGAUCCGUCUGUAGUUCUAUCAGUACAAUCACUGUUAUUGAUCCGUCUGUGGUUCUAUCAGUAGAAUCAGUUUUAUUGAUCCGUCUGUGGUUCUAUCAGUAGAAUCACUGUUAUUGAUCCGUCUGUAGUUCUAUCAGUACAAUCACUGUUAUUGAUCCGUCUGUAGUUCUAUCAGUACAAUCACUGUUAUUGAUCAGUAGAAUAAGUUUUAGUUUUAGUUUGAGCCUUGAGGAGUCCUUGAGAAGGUUCCUACGGUGUUUGAGGAGGUUUGGAAACCCUUAAGGAGGUUCCAGGGGUCCUUGACAAGUUUCUAAGGGACCUUGAGGAAGCUCCAGGAGUGACGAAGGAGGCUAUAAGGGUCCUUGAGGAGUUUUGAGUGGUCUCUGAAGAAACUCUUGAGGUCCUUGAGGGAGGCUCAGGGGUCCUUUUAAAGGCAACUGAGAAGGUUUUGAUGGUCUGCAAAGGUGCACGAGAGGUCCUUGAGCAGGUUUGAGAGGUCCUUGAGUGGGUAUGAGAAGAGGUUCUCGAGGAGGUCCUGGUGCAGGUCCUUGAGCAGGUCCUGGAGCAGGUCCUGGAGCAGGUUUGAGAGGUCCUUGAGUGGGUAUGAGAAGAGGUUCUCAAGGAGGUCCUUGAGCAGGUCCUGGAGGUCCUCUCUCUCUCUCUCUCUCUCUCUCUCUCUCUCUGUCUCUCUCUCUCUCUCUCUCUCUCUCUCUCUCUCUCUCUCUCUCUCUCUCUCUCUCUCUCUCAAUGUGAUGCAUCCCUCUUCCUUUUCUGCUCCGCCGUCACCAUGGCAACCAUGAGAAUGGGGGGGAGCAGAAGGAGGGGGUUACCAUGGCAACAACAUUAGCCUGAAUGUGUGUUUGCUGAAAAUCAUUCUGUCUCUACCUGUCUGUCUCUACCU
Sebastes umbrosus (honeycomb rockfish) is the source of this 956-nucleotide long non-coding RNA. RefSeq lists it as uncharacterized. The record is from RefSeq and is a predicted model, not a curated record. The transcript is spliced from 4 exons. Lineage: Eukaryota; Metazoa; Chordata; Actinopteri; Perciformes; Sebastidae.